GAUGAACGCUGGCGGCGUGCCUAAUACAUGCAAGUCGAGCGAACGGACGAGAAGCUUGCUUCUCUGAUGUUAGCGGCGGACGGGUGAGUAACACGUGGAUAACCUACCUAUAAGACUGGGAUAACUUCGGGAAACCGGAGCUAAUACCGGAUGAUAUUUUGAACCGCAUGGUUCAAAAGUGAAAGGCGGUCUUGCUGUCACUUUUAGAUGGUUCCGCGCUGCAUUAGCUAGUUGGUAAGGUAACGGCUUACCAAGGCAACGAUGCAUAGCCGACCUGAGAGGGUGAUCAGCCACACUGGAACUGAGACACGGUCCAGACUCCUACGGGAGGCAGCAGUAGGGAAUCUUCCGCAAUGGGCGAAAGCCUGACGGAGCAACGCCGCGUGAGUGAUGAAGGUCUUCGGAUCGUAAAACUCUGUUAUUAGGGAAGAACAUAUGUGUAAGUAACUGUGCACAUCUUGACGGUACCUAAUCAGAAAGCCACGGCUAACUACGUG
This 497-nucleotide ribosomal RNA is filed under the name uncultured bacterium. Its description in RNAcentral is "partial 16S ribosomal RNA". It matches the Rfam family "Bacterial small subunit ribosomal RNA", at positions 28 to 507 of the family's 1533-position model. The record is from RNAcentral.